This is a long non-coding RNA of Brassica oleracea var. oleracea, 1246 nucleotides long. RefSeq lists it as uncharacterized. The transcript has 2 exons. NCBI's taxonomy places the organism in Eukaryota, Viridiplantae, Streptophyta, Magnoliopsida, Brassicales, Brassicaceae. The record is from RefSeq and is a predicted model, not a curated record.
UUGUUAGACAAAAGAAAUUCUCCUAUGAAAUAGAAAAAAGGCUCCACCCAUCCUCUCCCUUUUCAUGUAUCUGUAGUCAUUAUUAGACACAUCAAAACUGUAAAAACUUAUCUAUAGCCAUUAUUAGACCAAACUCAUCCUCUUUUGCUUUACUAACCUUUUCUGUUUCAACCUCUCAAAUUUUUUUCCCAUCUCUGAAUGUUUUUCUUUUCCAUCUCAUAUUAAAACUCUCUGAAAUCUUCAUAUCUCAUUUUUCUUCUCACAUUUAUAUGAUAGUCUGUAACUAUGGUGUCUUAAGGGAAAACUUCACGAUAGGAAAAAAAGAUGUGAUGCGUCCUUCUAGCAGUUGAAAAUAGAUGUGAAGCGUUUUCCACUCUUUUUUUUGUUUCUUCUCCGUUCUGUUUCCAGAGAAACCUGAGGACAACAAAACUUGAGUUUUUGGGGGGUUUGAUUUUUUUCAAAAGAAUCAGAACAAUGAAAAGCAGAUUUCAGGUUUCUUGAAUCUUCAGUGGAAAAUAUAUGGUUUAUGUGUUGAGUUAUCUCAAUAGUGUUCCAGCAGUUAACAUGUAUAAGAGAAUGUUUAACGACAUAGGAAGGGAAAUAUAUGAUUCAGAUUUUCGGACCCAACAAUCUUAAAGAGAAAAAGGUCUCAACUUUGUUCUGCUUAUCUCAGAGAAAGCAAGUACUUCUUGUUUGUUUGUUCGUUUGCUGACUAGGGUCUGGUGAUGGUCUUUCAGGAGAGUAAGAUUCUCAAGUUCUUAGGUUUAUGUGGAAUCCACUCGCGUGAGCCCGGAUCUGUCGUGUUCUUGUCGGCGAUUGAGAUACGAGGAGGCGUCUCUUGGUCGGAGGAGCAUUUGAGGAGGAGAGAACUGUAAAAAGUGGAAGUGAGGGAAACGAGGUCGUGAGUGUCACCAUUUCUAGACCGAGGAUAGUGAACCAACGGCGUCAAAAAAUAGAAAUCUUUGUGGAUCGCCGGAGAAGAGGAGUCAGAGGCGAGCUUCGUCACCAGGGAAGAAGAUAGAGAAGUAGAAAAAGCUGAAGAAGAGGUUUUUGAAGUAGAAGAACCCAUUUUGAAUUGAAUUUAACAAACGCUGAGCUUUGAAAGAUUUAGUUUGGUUUCUCUUUCUGGGUUCUUCUGAGAUGUUUGAUUCUCUCUCUCUAGAGUACAUAUCUCAUUGCUUUUAUGGUUUUUGUUUUAUUAACUCUAUGUCGUAAUGCAUAAAAAUCUCACCUUUGUGAUUCUUGA